Molecule: ribosomal RNA, 381 nt
Filed under: uncultured Alphaproteobacteria bacterium
Lineage: Bacteria; Pseudomonadati; Pseudomonadota; Alphaproteobacteria
Description: bacterial SSU rRNA
Rfam family: Bacterial small subunit ribosomal RNA
Source: RNAcentral
GAGUUUGAUCGUGGCUCAGAACGAACGCUGGCGGCAGGCUUAACACAUGCAAGUCGAACGCGUGUAGCAAUACACGAGUGGCGCACGGGUGAGUAACACGUGGAUAUCUGCCUUUUGGUUCGGAAUAACCCUGGGAAACUAGGGCUAAUACCGGAUGGUUCCUACGGGAUAAAGAUUUAUCGCCAAAAGAUGAGUCCGCGUCCGAUUAGCUAGUUGGUGAGGUAAUGGCUCACCAAGGCGACGAUCGGUAGCUGGUCUGAGAGGACGAUCAGCCACACUGGGACUGAGACACGGCCCAGACUCCUACGGGAGGCAGCAGUGGGGAAUAUUGGACAAUGGGGGCAACCCUGAUCCAGCCAUGCCGCGUGAGUGAUGAAGGCC